UCUGACACAGGUGCUGCAUGGCUGUCGUCAGCCCGUGUCGUGAGAUGUUGGGUUAAGUCCGUACGAGCGCAACCCUUGUCCUUAGUUACCAGCACGUUAUGGUGGGCACUCUAAGGAGACUGCCGGUGACAAACCGGAGGAAGGUGGGGAUGACGUCAAGUCAUCAUGGCCCUUACGGCCUGGCUACACACGUGCUACAAUGGUCGGUACGAAAGGGUUGCCAAGCCGCGAGGUGGAGCUAAUCCCAUAAAACCGAUCGUAGUCCGGAUCGCAGUCUGCAACUCGACUGCGUGAAGUCGGAAUCGCUAGUAAUCGUGAAAUCAGAAUGUCACGGUGAAUACGUUCCCGGGCCUU
Molecule: ribosomal RNA, 354 nt
Filed under: uncultured Pseudomonas sp.
Lineage: Bacteria; Pseudomonadati; Pseudomonadota; Gammaproteobacteria; Pseudomonadales; Pseudomonadaceae
Description: bacterial SSU rRNA
Rfam family: Bacterial small subunit ribosomal RNA
Source: RNAcentral